This 433-nucleotide unclassified non-coding RNA is filed under the name soil metagenome. Its description in RNAcentral is "partial contains 5.8S ribosomal RNA, internal transcribed spacer 2, and large subunit ribosomal RNA". The stretch from base 1 to 120 matches the Rfam family "5.8S ribosomal RNA", at positions 35 to 154 of the family's 154-position model. The record is from RNAcentral.
GAUGAAGAACGCAGCGAAAUGCGAUACGUAAUGUGAAUUGCAGAAUUCAGUGAAUCAUCGAAUCUUUGAACGCAUAUUGCGCUCUCUGGUAUUCCGGAGAGCAUGCUUGUUUGAGUAUCAGUAAACACCUCAACUCCCUUUUCUUUUUUGAAAUGGGAGCUGGACUUGAGUGAUCCCAACACUUUUCUCACUGGAAAGUGGCGGGUCACUUGAAAUGCAGGUGCAGCUGGACUUUUCUCUGAGCUAUAAGCAUAUCUAUUUAGUCUGCCUAAAAAACAGAUUAUUACCUUUGCUGCAGCUAACAUAAAGGAGAUGAGUUCUUGUGCUGACUGAUGCAGGAUUCACAGAGACAGCUUUGCGGCUGACUUUGUAACCUCGAUCUCAAAUCAAGUAAGACUACCCGCUGAACUUAAGCAUAUCAAUAAGCGGAGGA